ACGAACGCUGGCGGCAUGCCUAACACAUGCCAGUCGAACGAGACCUUCGGGUCUAGUGGCGCACGGGUGCGUAACGCGUGGGAACCUGCCCUUAGGUUCGGAAUAACUCCCCGAAAGGGGUGCUAAUACCGAAUAAUGUCUUCGGACCAAAGAUUUAUCGCCUUUGGAUGGGCCCGCGUUGGAUUAGCUAGUUGGUAGGGUAAAAGCCUACCAAGGCGACGAUCCAUAGCUGGUCUGAGAGGAUGAUCAGCCACACUGGGACUGAGACACGGCCCAGACUCCUACGGGAGGCAGCAGUGGGGAAUAUUGGACAAUGGGCGAAAGCCUGAUCCAGCAAUGCCGCGUGAGUGAUGAAGGCCUUAGGGUUGUAAAGCUCUUUUACCCGGGAUGAUAAUGACAGUACCGGGAGAAUAAGCUCCGGCUAACUCCGUG
Molecule: ribosomal RNA, 432 nt
Filed under: uncultured bacterium
Lineage: Bacteria
Description: partial 16S ribosomal RNA
Rfam family: Bacterial small subunit ribosomal RNA
Source: RNAcentral